CCCCUCAUAGCUCAGUUUGGUUAGAGCGUAUCUCUGAUAAAGAUAAGGUCCGUAGUUCAAGUCUACGUGAGGGGACCG
This 78-nucleotide transfer RNA is filed under the name Spirochaetota bacterium. RNAcentral's name for it is "Spirochaetes bacterium tRNA-Ile". It matches the Rfam family "tRNA". Rfam says of the family: Transfer RNA (tRNA) molecules are approximately 80 nucleotides in length. The record is from RNAcentral. Lineage: Bacteria; Pseudomonadati; Spirochaetota.